GAUUUGGCCAAAUAAUACACUGAACUAACCACCUAAAUACACGUGACUAACCACCUAAAUAAUGGUUAGUCAUGUGUAUUUAGGUGGUUAGUUCAGUGUAUUAUUUGGCCAAAUC
This 115-nucleotide microRNA precursor is filed under the name Lotus japonicus. Its description in RNAcentral is "miR11107c stem-loop (lja-MIR11107c)". Lineage: Eukaryota; Viridiplantae; Streptophyta; Magnoliopsida; Fabales; Fabaceae. The record is from miRBase by way of RNAcentral.